RNAcentral lists this unclassified non-coding RNA (21 nucleotides) under Chlamydomonas reinhardtii. RNAcentral's name for it is "small RNA Cre_1523". The record is from RNAcentral. Lineage: Eukaryota; Viridiplantae; Chlorophyta; Chlorophyceae; Chlamydomonadales; Chlamydomonadaceae.
CUGUGCGGUGAGAAGCUGAGU